AUAUGCUGUUAAUAGGAUGAUAGUAAUAUCGAGUAUAGAUCAUCGUGUGCCAUAUGAGUUGGUUGUCCUCUUAAUCAAGGAGUGUGGAGAUAUUGUUAUGGCAUGCUAAUAGAAUAUAAGAGUAUCUUCACAUCGAGCAUGACCAUUUGUCGAGCACUCUGCUCUCAAGAGUAGCUCAUGAAGGGUAUGGGUAUAAGUGUCCCUC
RNAcentral lists this long non-coding RNA (205 nucleotides) under Elaeis guineensis (African oil palm). RNAcentral describes it as "long non-coding RNA (EGUI_LNC062562)". The record is from RNAcentral. Lineage: Eukaryota; Viridiplantae; Streptophyta; Magnoliopsida; Arecales; Arecaceae.